Oncorhynchus kisutch (coho salmon) is the source of this 944-nucleotide long non-coding RNA. RefSeq lists it as uncharacterized. The record is from RefSeq and is a predicted model, not a curated record. NCBI's taxonomy places the organism in Eukaryota, Metazoa, Chordata, Actinopteri, Salmoniformes, Salmonidae. The transcript is spliced from 3 exons.
AUUUGAAGGAAGUCCAGGGGCAGGAGGGAUUUGAAGGUAAAAUAUCAGGGGCGGAGCUUUCGGUGCUUUGUACAUCGAUGCCUUCUGAACUUAAAGGCAAAGUAAUAAACUAAACAAAUCGCCGGUUGCUGCUUCAGAGAGCCGCUCGCCUCCGUUAUUUCUGGUCAUUUUGGACAGAAAACGCUUCACGGGGUGCACAGGGUUUGCUGAGAAGAUGCUUAUUUUCCCACGACUUGCUUCGUAUCUGAUAUCUAUGUGACUGAUUUUUGAUAGAUCAGACAAAAGUCACGUUAUUGACCAAAAUAGCACAGUUCUUUGGUUGUUUUUGGCUAGAUGUAUAUAGCCUUUAGUCGAUGCGUUGCAGCCUAUGACGAUGAUGUGUUGUAACGGUAUGGAAACUAUGAUGUCAUUUCUGUGUACGGGCAACCCCAACAGCUCCUCCAGCAGAAGCUGCUUCCUCCUGUCUUCCAGAUGCUGCUGACCAAGUUGUCCACCAUCUGACAGGCGGUUCUGGCUGAUGACAUGUCGCCAUAGCUGAUAGAAACCCAGAAGGAAUAUCAUCCCCAAUGAUACUGCUAAUAUUAGUAACUGUACUGAUGAGGAACAGGAGGGCUUAUCCAUUGUCCCUGAACUGCUUGAAGUGUAGAGUCAAAAUGACAGUGCCACUUUGUUACCGCUAGUCACAUGUUUGAGAAGAUGUUCUGCAAAAAUAAUAACAAUACAGAGAUGGUCUUGCUCUUCAAUGAGGUUCUGACAAUCAUAUGUUGGAAUCCAUUAUAAAGAAAACCUACAGUAGUAGCACUUUGUGUAGGUAGUAACCUGUUUGUUGAACGCCAGUGAUUCUAAGAACAAAAAUAACUGUUACCUGUAGGACAAUGUCUCUAUCACAGGUCACCAAGGGUACAACAAGGCAUAUCCUUAAUAAAAUAUAUUUUAAUGGCUAA